UACGGAGGGUGCAAGCGUUAUCCGGAUUCACUGGGUUUAAAGGGUGCGUAGGAGGGCAGGUAAGUCAGUGGUGAAAUCCCCGAGCUUAACUUGGGAACUGCCGUUGAUACUAUCUGUCUUGAAUAUUGUGGAGGUGAGCGGAAUAUGUCAUGUAGCGGUGAAAUGCUUAGAUAUGACAUAGAACACCAAUUGCGAAGGCAGCUGGCUACACAUAUAUUGACACUGAGGCACGAAAGCGUGGGGAUCAAACAGG
RNAcentral lists this ribosomal RNA (253 nucleotides) under uncultured bacterium. Its description in RNAcentral is "partial 16S ribosomal RNA". It matches the Rfam family "Bacterial small subunit ribosomal RNA", at positions 524 to 776 of the family's 1533-position model. The record is from RNAcentral.